This 355-nucleotide transfer-messenger RNA is filed under the name Planctomycetota bacterium. It matches the Rfam family "transfer-messenger RNA". From Rfam's summary of the family: Bacterial tmRNA, also known as 10Sa RNA or SsrA, is named for its dual tRNA and mRNA-like properties. Its role is to liberate the mRNA from a stalled ribosome. Lineage: Bacteria; Pseudomonadati; Planctomycetota. The record is from RNAcentral.
GGGGGCGAUCGGUUUCGACCGGGUGACCUGAAGCAAGGGCUGCGUGCCGAGGUUGCCAGGGGGCCUCGUUAACAACCUGGCACCAAAUGCAAGUGCGAAACCUGCACUGAAAAUGGCUGCCUAGAGCGGCCACGCUCCUCCGUUCCUCGCCCACGGGGGCGGAUGCGGGCGACUGCAGUGGGAUAGCCCGAGUGUGCCGCCGCGUCACGCUCGGGUGAAACAAACUCGCGGCUGGCCUGGACCGGACCCUGCCCAGCGGGGCUUGUUCGGGCGACACUCAAAUUGCGGGCUACGCACGUAGAUGCACUUGCCGAUGCGCUACGGGACGGGGGUUCGAUUCCCCCCGCCUCCAAAU